Molecule: ribosomal RNA, 139 nt
Filed under: Bifidobacterium catenulatum subsp. kashiwanohense
Lineage: Bacteria; Bacillati; Actinomycetota; Actinomycetes; Bifidobacteriales; Bifidobacteriaceae
Description: partial 23S ribosomal RNA
Rfam family: Bacterial large subunit ribosomal RNA
Source: RNAcentral
CCUGCUCCAAGAUAAGGAUUCCUUGACGCUCCUCGGAGCGUCCGAAGCCCGCAUGUUGAACACGUGUUCGAUAGGCCGGAGGUGGAAGCCCCGCGAGGGAUGGAGCCGACCGGUACUAACGGGCGAACGCGGCACACUU